UUCAUGACCCUGAGAUCAAGUCACAUGCUCCACCAACUGA
This 40-nucleotide small nucleolar RNA is filed under the name Vulpes vulpes (red fox). RNAcentral also lists the same sequence under 1 other name. Lineage: Eukaryota; Metazoa; Chordata; Mammalia; Carnivora; Canidae. The record is from RNAcentral.